This 210-nucleotide ribosomal RNA is filed under the name uncultured bacterium. RNAcentral describes it as "partial 16S ribosomal RNA". It matches the Rfam family "Bacterial small subunit ribosomal RNA", at positions 1284 to 1500 of the family's 1533-position model. The record is from RNAcentral.
UGUCUCAGUUCGGAUUGGAGUCUGNAACCCGACUCCAUGAAGCUGGAUUCGCUAGUAAUCGCGCAUCAGCCACGGCGCGGUGAAUACGUUCCCGGGCCUUGUACACACCGCCCGUCAAGCCAUGGAAGCCGGGGGGUGCCUGAAGUGCGCUGCCGCGAGGAGCGCCCUAGGGUAAAACCGGUGACUGGGGCUAAGUCGUAACAAGGUAGC